CGAAGGGGGCGAGCGUUAUUCGGAAUCACUGGGCGUAAAGCGUGCGUAGGCGGUCUUGAAAGUUGGAAGUGAAAGCCCAGGGCUCAACCCUGGAAUUGCUCUCAAAACUACAAGACUAGGAUUCGGGAGAGGAUAGCGGAAUUGUCAGUGUAGCAGUGAAAUGCGUAGAUAUUGACAGGAACACCAGUGGCGCAAGCGGCUAUCUGGACCGACAUCGACGCUGAGGCACGAAAGCGUGGGGAUCAAACAGGAUUAGAUACCCUGGUAGUCCACGCCGUAAACGAUGUGUGUUUGUCGCCGGGGGGUUCACCUUUCGGUGACGCAGCUAACGCGUUAAGCACACCGCCUGGGAAGUACGGCCGCAAGGUUA
This 370-nucleotide ribosomal RNA is filed under the name uncultured organism. Its description in RNAcentral is "bacterial SSU rRNA". It matches the Rfam family "Bacterial small subunit ribosomal RNA", at positions 526 to 896 of the family's 1533-position model. The record is from RNAcentral.